This 2311-nucleotide ribosomal RNA is filed under the name human gut metagenome. Its description in RNAcentral is "bacterial LSU rRNA". It matches the Rfam family "Bacterial large subunit ribosomal RNA", at positions 14 to 2354 of the family's 2925-position model. The record is from RNAcentral.
AGAGCGUAGGGUGGAUGCCUUGGUACCAAGAGCCGAAGAAAGACGUGGUAAGCUGCGAAAAGCCAUGGGGAGCUGCAAACAAGCAUUGAUCCAUGGAUAUCUGAAUGGGGAAACCCGGCGGUCGUUGAGGGCCGUCAUCGUAACAUGAAUACAUAGUGUUACGAAGGGAACCCGGUGAACUGAAACAUCUAAGUAGCCGGAGGAAGAGAAAGAAACAUCGAUUCCCAAAGUAGCGGCGAGCGAAAUGGGAAGAGCCUAAACCGAAUCUCUACGGAGAGUCGGGGUUACGGACCUGCGGAAUCGAGAUUACUCAUAGUCGAAUAGCAUUGGAAAGUGCAGCCGGAGAGGGUAAAAGCCCCGUAGGCGAAAUGAGGAAUUGAGAGGCGGGUAUCCAGAGUACCACAGGACACGAGGAAUCCGGUGGGAAGUCGGGGGGACCACCCCCCAAGGCUAAAUACUACUUGGUGACCGAUAGCGUAUAGUACCGUGAGGGAAAGGUGAAAAGAACCCCGGGAGGGGAGUGAAAGAGAACCUGAAACCCUAUGUUUACAAGCAGUGGGAGCGCAAGCGACCAUGUACUUUUUGUAGAACGGGCCGGCGAGUUACUGUGUGUAGCGAGGUUAAGGUGUAGAGCACCGGAGCCGUAGCGAGAGCGAGUCUCAAAUGGGCGAAUAGUUGCAUACAGUAGACCCGAAACCGGGUGACCUAUCCAUGGACAGGAUGAAGCGGUGGUAAAGCACCGUGGAGGUCCGAACCACACGUAUGUUGAAAAAUGCGGGGAUGAGCUGUGGAUAGCGGAGAAAUUCCAAUCGAACUCGGAGAUAGCUGGUUCUCCCCGAAAUAGCUUUAGGGCUAGCCUCGAUUUAGAUUAUUGGGGGUAGAGCACUGAAUGGGCUAGGGGGCCACAAAGCUUACUGAACCCUAUCAAACUGCGAAUACCAAUUAAUUGAUGAUCGGGAGUCAGACAGUGAGAGAUAAGUUCCAUUGUCGAAAGGGAAACAGCCCAGAUCCACGACUAAGGUCCCAAAAUACACGUUAAGUGGAAAAGGAUGUGCAGUUGCACAGACAACCAGGAUGUUGGCUUAGAAGCAGCCACUCAUUCAAAGAGUGCGUAAUAGCUCACUGGUCGAGUGAAUGUGCGCCGAAAAUAUACCGGGGCUAAACGUGAUACCGAAGUCUGGGGAUCAAGAAAUUGAUCGGUAGGGGAGCAACGCAUACGGACAGAAGCAGAAGCGGGAGCGACUGUGGACUGUAUGGGAGAGAGAAUGCCGGCAUGAGUAGCGAGAGCAAAGUGAGAAUCUUUGCCGUCGAAAGCCUAAGGUUUCCUGAGGAAGGCUCGUCCUCUCAGGGUAAGUCGGGACCUAAGCCGAGGACAAGAGUCGUAGGCGAUGGACAACAGGUUGAUAUUCCUGUACCGUACUUAAGCGUUUGACUGAAGCAGUGACACAGAAGGAUAGACAGACCGGGGGAAUGGUAGACUCCGGCCAAGCAGUGAGGCUGACAUGUAGUGAAGUACGCAUGUUAAGGCUGGGCUGUGAUGGGGACUGAAGAUUAGUAAGGAAGCUGUUGAAUUCACACUGGCGAGAAAAGCUGCUAAGGAGCGAGAGUAUGCCCGUACCGCAAACCGACACAGGUAGGCGAGGAGAGAAUCCUAAGACGAGCGGGAGAACCCUUGUUAAGGAACUCGGCAAAAUGACUCCGUAACUUAGGGAGAAGGAGUGCCUCGAGAGAGGCCGCAGAGAAUAGGCCCAAGCGACUGUUUACCAAAAACACAGGUCUGUGCGAAGUAGAGAUACGACGUAUACGGGCUGACGCCUGCCCAGUGCCGGAAGGUUAAGGGGAAGUGUUAGGGCAACCGAAGCACGGAACUUAAGCCCCGGUGAACGGCGGCCGUAACUAUAACGGUCCUAAGGUAGCGAAAUUCCUUGUCGGGUAAGUUCCGACCCGCACGAAUGGCGUAACGACUUGGGCACUGUCUCAACAAGGGACCCGGCGAAAUUGUAGUAUGUGUGAAGAUGCACAUUACCCGCGAUAGGACGGAAAGACCCCGUAGAGCUUUACUGUAGUUUAACAUUGGAUUUUGAUAACACAUGUACAGGAUAGGUGGGAGGCUGAGAAACCGGGACGCCAGUACCGAUGGAGCCGCUGUUGGGAUACCACUCUUGUGUUAUUGGAGUUCUAACGAAGUGCCGUAAACCGGGCUUCGGACAGUGUUAGAUGGGCAGUUUGACUGGGGCGGUCGCCUCCGAAAGAGUAACGGAGGCGUCCAAAGGUUCCCUCAGAAUGGUUGGAAACCAUUCACAGAGUGCAA